GCAAGAAUACUGGCGUGGGUAGUCUAUCCCGUCUCCAUUGGAUCUUCCCGAUCCAGGAAUCAAACCAGGGUCUCCCACACUGCAGGCAGAUUCUUUACCAACUGAGCUAUCAGGGAAUAUGAGCAGUGAAGAAAAGGAAAAGGAAAUCAAAUAAGAAGACACAGAGGAGAAGGGAAAGAAAGAUUCUUCAUUGUAGCUCUCCAGCAUGGUGGACUUAAGAUUCUGCUCUGUGCCACAGGAGGCUGACCUGCUUGGACUUUAUCAGCAGGUUUCCUUUUCAUCUGGUCACAGUCAUGAGAAACACAGGCCACAGAGAAUUCUCCAAAGAGAGAAAGUUUUAGAAACAAGUUGACUUGAUUUAAGUCAGAGUGCUUCAUUUCAAAUGAAGGAAGCAGAUUCUGGCUGAUUCACCAGAAGAGUUUUUUAAUGUAGACAUUAGGAGCUCACAGAUUCACUGGGAAAAGAACAAAGCUCAACACUAAGCUUCCAAGAAUAUACUCCAAACUGCAGGAAAGAUAUGAAGUGAAAUGCUGUGCUAUUCUUGUAACUUAAUGGAAGGCUCAAUUUUUUUUUCAAAACAGAAAGGUUUUUUUUUUUUUUUUUUUAAUUUUUUUAAGCUGCUGGGAAAUUUCAGAAAAUAGGAUAAUACACUAAUGUACCCUUGACUGCCUCUCAUCAAUACAUGUGUCUGUGUGUGUUCAGUCACUCAGUGGUAUCUGAUUCUUUGCAACCCCAUGGGCUAUAGCCCGCCAGGCUUCUCUGUUCAUAGGAUUCUCCAGGCAAGAAUACUGGAGUGGGUUGCCGUUUCCUACUCCAGGGGAUCUUCCUGACCCAGGGAUUGAAGCUGCAUCUCUUGCACUGGCAGGUGGAUUCUUUGCCACUAGUGCCACCUGGGAAGCCCCUCAUUGAUAUAUACUGUUCUCAAAAAUUCUGAAAUAACUCUUGCUAAAUAUAAUACAGCUAUCAUACUUCUGAAUAAAUACUGGUUUACUCAGUGACAGAGAAAUUCCAGAUGAUGACAAGAUCCUUGGAGGCAGACGAGAGAGUUUGAGUGAAGAAAAGUCAGGAAAGUAUGAGGCCAGAGUAUUAAAAAUAUUUUUUACAUGGAUGUGAGAUGUUGUCCACUGAAGAAUUGAUGCUUUUGAACUUUGUUGUUAGAGAAGACUCUUGAGAGUCCCUUGGACUGCAAGGAGAUCCAACCAGUCCAUCCUAAGGGAGAUCAGUCCUGAGUGUUCAUUGGAAGGACUGAUGUUGAACCUGAAGCUCCAAUACUUUGGCCACCUGCUGUGAAGAACUGACUCAUUUGAGAAGACCUUGAUGCCAGGAAAGACUGAGGGCAGGAGGAGAAGGGGACAACAGAGGAAAAACAUGGUUGGAUGGCAUCACCGACUCAAUGGACAUGAGUUUGAGUAAACUCCAGGAGUUGGUGAUGGACAGGGAGGCCUGGCAUGCUGCAGUCUAUGGGGUCACAAGGAGUUGGACACAACUGAGCAACUGAAUUGAACUGAACUGAACUGAGAUGUCCUCCAUAGUAUAAUAGAACGGAUCUUGUUGGCUGCAAAUAGUAAGAUGGACUUCAGAAUACUGGAUGAAUGUGGAAAAGUGACUAAAAUUUAGUAGAAUUGAGUGGUAGAAAAUAUAUAUAUAGGAUGGUAUAUGAAUUAUGUCAUUUACUUCAAAGGAAAGGUGUGAAAAUGGGGAAAUGUCAACAACAUCCUGUCUUUGUAACAUGCUGGGCAUGAGAGAAAGAGGAGUCACAGUUUCCAGAACUCUGCAAAAAGGCAUUAGCCUUGAGGAAAGAUGAGGUUUCAAUUAAAGCCAAAAAAAGGGAGUAGUCAAGUUCCUUAAAGAACCUGUGGGCUGUGAGAGAGUUUGCUGUUGAUGGAUCAGAGAUUGUAAAAAGCAUUGAAUAAUAUUAAAUAGAAAUAUAUAUGCAGAGUAUCUUUUUAUCACUAAAUUGUUUGUUUAGUUAUCCAGUGAGGUAUUUCAACUUUGUUUCAGUCAGUUCAGUUGGUCAGUCUUGUCUGACUCUUUGUGACCCCAUGAACUGCAGCAUGCCAGGCUUCCCUGUCAAUCACCAACUCCUGGAGUCUACUCAAACUCAUGUCCAUCACGUCAGUGAUGCCAUCCAACCAUCUCAUCCUCUGCUGUCGCCUUCUUCUCCUGCCUUCAAUCUUUUCCAGCAUCAAAUCUUUUCCAAUGAGUCGGUUCUUCGCAUCAAGUGGCCAAAGUAUUGGAGUUCCAGCUUCAGCAUCAGUGCUUAAUCGCUUAAAAUUUGAAACAAUGUUGGUGUACAAUGUCUAGAGUUGUUCUCCAAAACAAUUAGAAAAAUAGUGGGAUUUUCAUUGUUCUUAGAGAAUAUAUAUCAAAAUUGUAGGAUUCAAGGGUUUUGUUUCUUUAUAAAAAUUGAAACAUUCUCAUUUUAAUUGAUUUAUUAAAAUUUUGAUGGAAAAAUAAUAAAACACAGCAUAGCAAAUUUUGAAAAUAUAUGUUGAUUCAUUGGUGGAAAAUUAUUUUAUCAUCAGCAAAGAAGUAAUCAUAGAAGGGGAUUUCAAGGAAGAGCUAAUGUGACCUUAAAGGAAUUUAUACUCUUUGGUCUCCACAUGUGCACUUAUCAGAGAGUUCCUGGACUCUAAGUGUUUAUUCACAUCUGUCAGCUAAAUCAUAGAUCCAAAUGCAAAACGUAACACUCAGGAACAUUAUGUGGAUUUGUGACACUCCCUGGAGGACUUUGGGUCCAUAAAGCAAUGAAUGGAUUAUAAGAAGACAUAAAUAUGGUAUUUUCAUCUAUGACAGAUGCAAUCUUCCUCCAGUGUUAUUUAUAUUAUAUAAGGAAAACUGAACCUAUUUUCCUCAGUCAAACUGAAGGGAGGCACCCUUAGGGAUGAAUAAAUGAAUAUCUCACUAUUAAAUUCCAAUUCCUAUGAAUUCAUCUCUGAAAACAUUGUGUUUUUGAUAUUUUUUAAAUGGCUGAUGUUUGUUUAUUUAUUUUACACGUGUGUGAAGAAAUGGAGCUAAAAGGAAAACAUGAGAAAAAACUGUGAUAACAGAAUCAUUUUUCAUUUUUUGCCAUUAUCCUGGAUCAAGUAAAUCUUAACCUAUAUUUGGAUUUUAAUGACCAGCUGGACACCCCAAUCAGGUUCCAAUAAGGCCUGCUUUGAGUCUCUUAACAUUCUUUGCAUCCUCAUCUUUAGUUAAUAUUAGGGAGGUGGGAUAUAUGGAGUUCUGGAAAGAGCACAGGUUUUGAAUGUGGAGGAGCAGUGGUCUAGUAUUAAUUCUGCGUAGCCUCUAGUUGAAGAUCUCAAAUUGAACUGGGAGAUGUCCUUAGCUUUAUAUACCUUUAAAAUGGUACUAAAUUUUUGUGUCACUGUUUGUACUAAUUUCAAUUUUAAUUGACAAAUAAAACUUAAAAUUGUAUAUUGUAAAGUGCUCUAAUUGUUUAUCUUUAUAUAAAAUCUUUAAUGUCCUUCCAAUGGUAUAUCAACUUUUAAAAAUCCUCCUGAACCCAAUAAAAUUUUUGAGGAAAAAAAGAGUAGUCCAAGACUGAAAUGUGUUUUAGUUUAUGGACUAGGACUGAUUAAGAUAUAAUGAAUUUAUAUUGAUGGAUAGUGUGGCAUUAUAGAAGGAAUAGUAGCAUAUCAGUAUAUCUGAACUUCAAUUUUAUCUUCUGUAAAAUAUCACUGAGAGUCCCAAAUCUUCCUAAUGACAGGGAAGAAUGUAUAUGCUAUGGAAAGUUACCACCAUUGAAAAUGUUGGAUUAAUUUUUGUUUUAAAAUUAUUCUUGUCCUAUUAUUUUAUAAUUUUAUAUUAUCCUAAAUUUUACUUGAAGGUCUAGUAGUGUCUUAAAUAACGUGGCAUUUGGCUCUGUCAUAUUAUCCUACUGUUAUUUUUGUCUCUUUGUUUUUUCUUAUUUAGAAUUCAAGCAAACAGUGAACUUUCUUUACUUUCUUAUUGUGUUUUUAAUGCCAUCAUCACUUUUAACUGUUAUUAAAUUAUAACAGACUUUACCAUUUUAAAGAGCUCUUCUUUUUCUUAAUACUCUAUUUUAUUGUCAUGCAUUUCUGAAUAAUUCUGCAGUAAGAAUUUGGAGUGAAUUAAAC
Molecule: long non-coding RNA, 4100 nt
Organism: Bos taurus (domestic cattle)
Lineage: Eukaryota; Metazoa; Chordata; Mammalia; Artiodactyla; Bovidae
Source: Ensembl